UACGGAGGGUGCAAGCGUUGAUCGGAAUUACUGGGCGUAAAGCGCACGCAGGCGGUUUGUUAAGUCAGAUGUGAAAGCCCCGGGCUCAACCUGGGAACUGCAUCUGAUACUGGCAAGCUUGAGUCUCGUAGAGGGGGGUAGAAUUCCAGGUGUAGCGGUGAAAUGCGUAGAGAUCUGGAGGAAUACCGGUGGCGAAGGCGGCCCCCUGGACGAAGACUGACGCUCAGGUGCGAAAGCGUCGGGAGCAAACAGG
Molecule: ribosomal RNA, 253 nt
Filed under: uncultured bacterium
Lineage: Bacteria
Description: partial 16S ribosomal RNA
Rfam family: Bacterial small subunit ribosomal RNA
Source: RNAcentral